Molecule: ribosomal RNA, 1346 nt
Filed under: uncultured bacterium
Lineage: Bacteria
Description: partial 16S ribosomal RNA
Rfam family: Bacterial small subunit ribosomal RNA
Source: RNAcentral
GACGAACGCUGGCGGCGUGCUUAACACAUGCAAGUCGAACGGAAAGGCCCUGCUUUUGUGGGGUGCUCGAGUGGCGAACGGGUGAGUAACACGUGAGUAACCUGCCCUUGACUUUGGGAUAACUUCAGGAAACUGGGGCUAAUACCGGAUAGGAGCUCCUGCUGCAUGGUGGGGGUUGGAAAGCUUCGGCGGUUGGGGAUGGACUCGCGGCUUAUCAGCUUGUUGGUGGGGUAGUGGCUUACCAAGGCUUUGACGGGUAGCCGGCCUGAGAGGGUGACCGGCCACAUUGGGACUGAGAUACGGCCCAGACUCCUACGGGAGGCAGCAGUGGGGAAUAUUGCACAACGGGCGGAAGCCUGAUGCAGCAACGCCGCGUGCGGGAUGACGGCCUUCGGGUUGUAAACCGCUUUCGCCUGUGACGAAGCGUGAGUGACGGUAAUGGGUAAAGAAGCACCGGCUAACUACGUGCCAGCAGCCGCGGUGAUACGUAGGGUGCGAGCGUUGUCCGGAUUUAUUGGGCGUAAAGGGCUCGUAGGUGGUUGAUCGCGUCGGAAGUGUAAUCUUGGGGCUUAACCCUGAGCGUGCUUUCGAUACGGGUUGACUUGAGGAAGGUAGGGGAGAAUGGAAUUCCUGGUGGAGCGGUGGAAUGCGCAGAUAUCAGGAGGAACACCAGUGGCGAAGGCGGUUCUCUGGGCCUUUCCUGACGCUGAGGAGCGAAAACGUGGGGAGCGAACAGGCUUAGAUACCCUGGUAGUCCACGCUGUAAACGGUGGGUACUAGGUGUGGGGUCCAUUCCACGGGUUCCGUGCCGUAGCUAACGCUUUAAGUACCCCGCCUGGGGAGUACGGCCGCAAGGCUAAAACUCAAAGGAAUUGACGGGGCCCCGCACAAGCGGCGGAGCAUGCGGAUUAAUUCGAUGCAACGCGUAGAACCUUACCUGGGUUUGACAUGGAUCGGGAGUGCUCAGAGAUGGGUGUGCCUCUUUUGGGGUCGGUUCACAGGUGGUGCAUGGCUGUCGUCAGCUCGUGUCGUGAGAUGUUGGGUUAAGUCCCGCAACGAGCGCAACCCUUGUUCACUGUUGCCAGCACGUUAUGGUGGGGACUCAGUGGAGACCGCCGGGGUCAACUCGGAGGAAGGUGGGGAUGACGUCAAGUCAUCAUGCCCCUUAUGUCCAGGGCUUCACGCAUGCUACAAUGGCUGGUACAGAGAGUGGCGAGCCUGUGAGGGUGAGCGAAUCUCGGAAAGCCGGUCUCAGUUCGGAUUGGGGUCUGCAACUCGACCUCAUGAAGUCGGAGUCGCUAGUAAUCGCAGAUCAGCAACGCUGCGGUGAAUAAGUUCCCGGGGCU